AGCUGAAUGCCAGGCAUCUCAGGCUGUUCUUGGCCAGCUGAAUGCCAGGCAUCUCAGGCUGUUCUUGGCUAGCUGAAUGCCAGGCAUCUCAGGCUGUUCUUGGCCAGCUGAAUGCCAGGCAUCUCAGGCUGUUCUUGGCUAGCUGAAGGCCAGGCAUCUCAGGCUGUUCUUGGCUAGCUGAAGGCCAGGCAUCUCAGGCUGUUCUUGGCUAGCUGAAGGCCAGGCAUCUCAGGCUGUUCUUGGCCAGCUGAAGGCCAGGCACCUCAGGCUGUUCUUGGCUAGCUGAAGGCCAGGCACCUCAGGCUGUUCUUGGCUAGCUGAAUGCCAGGCACCUCAGGCUGUUCUUGGCUAGCUGAAGGCCAGGCAUCUCAGGCUGUUCUUGGCUAGCUGAAGGCCAGGCAUCUCAGGCUGUUCUUGGCCAGCUGAAGGCCAGGCACCUCAGGCUGUUCUUGGCUAGCUGAAGGCCAGCUGAAGGCCAGGCUCCUCAGGAUGUUCUUGGCUAGCUGAAGGCCAGCUGAAGGCCAGGCAUCUCAGGCUGUUCUUGGCUAGCUGAAGGCCAGGCAUCUCAGGCUGUUCUUGGCUAGCUGAAUGCCAGGCAUCUCAGGCUGUUCUUGGCUAGCUGAAGGUCAGGCAUCUCAGGCUGUUCUUGGCUAGCUGAAGGCCAGGCAUCUCAGGCUGUUCUUGGAUAGCUGAAUGCCAGGCAUCUCAGGCUGUUCUUGGCUAGCUGAAUGCCAGGCAUCUCAGGCUGUUCUUGGCCAGCUGAAUGCCAGGCAUCUCAGGAUGUUCUUGGCUAGCUGAAGGCCAGGCAUCUCAGGCUGUUCUUGGCUAGCUGAAUGCCAGGCAUCUCAGGCUGUUCUUGGCUAGCUGAAUGCCAGGCAUCUCAGGCUGUUCUUGGCUAGCUGAAUGCCAGGCAUCUCAGGCUGUUCUUGGCUAGCUGAAGGCCAGGCAUCUCAGGCUGUUCUUGGCUAGCUGAAUGCCAGGCAUCUCAGGCUGUUCUUGGCUAGCUGAAGGCCAGGCACCAAAAGGCUGAAAUUCCAUUUGUGCAUCAACCUAUCAAUAAUGAGAUAUGAUAAUACGUUGAUCCAUAGUAUUAUUCAAAAGUAACAUAACAUCAACUGGUAAACGCUGAUUGUUCUACGAUUAAGGGGGGAAGCAUUACCUUAUGAGGGUGGUGCCUGGCCUUAAAGCCACAGUCUAAUAAUUCUGUUUGAUUUUCCUUUCUUCUUCUAGCAUGUCCUUACCUUUUCCUUUUAGAUUUUAACUGUAAAGUGUAUUGCAAUUUUAAAUAAAGAUUGAUUUGAUUUGAUAAACAAA
Molecule: long non-coding RNA, 1314 nt
Organism: Oncorhynchus masou masou (cherry salmon)
Lineage: Eukaryota; Metazoa; Chordata; Actinopteri; Salmoniformes; Salmonidae
Exons: 2
Source: RefSeq, a predicted model, not a curated record